RNAcentral lists this small nuclear RNA (87 nucleotides) under Gopherus agassizii (Agassiz's desert tortoise). Its description in RNAcentral is "U4 spliceosomal RNA (ENSGAGG00000022505.1)". It matches the Rfam family "U4 spliceosomal RNA". From Rfam's summary of the family: U4 small nuclear RNA (U4 snRNA) is a component of the major U2-dependent spliceosome. Lineage: Eukaryota; Metazoa; Chordata; Testudines; Testudinidae. The record is from RNAcentral.
UUUACUGUGCAGUGGCAGUAUCAUAACCAAUGAAGUUAAUCUGAGGUAUGAUUAUUGCUAGUUGAAAACUUUUUCUGUUUUAGCAGG